Molecule: microRNA precursor, 78 nt
Filed under: Schistosoma margrebowiei
Lineage: Eukaryota; Metazoa; Platyhelminthes; Trematoda; Strigeidida; Schistosomatidae
Description: mir-3492 microRNA precursor family
Rfam family: mir-3492 microRNA precursor family
Source: Rfam by way of RNAcentral
AAUUUUUCGAAUUCGUGCAGAGAUUUCAUCAGACACCAACCCAUUAGGUCUGACCAGACUUCCAAGAUAAGUGAAGUU